RNAcentral lists this ribosomal RNA (253 nucleotides) under uncultured bacterium. RNAcentral describes it as "partial 16S ribosomal RNA". It matches the Rfam family "Bacterial small subunit ribosomal RNA", at positions 524 to 776 of the family's 1533-position model. The record is from RNAcentral.
UACAGAGGUCUCAAGCGUUGUUCGGAUUCAUUGGGCGUAAAGGGUGCGUAGGUGGCGGGGUAAGUCGGAUGUGAAAUCCCGGGGCUCAACCCCGGAACUGCAUUCGAUACUGCCGUGCUAGAGGACUGGAGAGGAGACUGGAAUUUACGGUGUAGCGGUGAAAUGCGUAGAUAUCGUAAGGAAGACCAGUGGCGAAGGCGGGUCUCUGGACAGUUCCUGACGCUGAGGCACGAAGGCCAGGGGAGCAAACGGG